Molecule: long non-coding RNA, 463 nt
Organism: Drosophila ficusphila
Lineage: Eukaryota; Metazoa; Arthropoda; Insecta; Diptera; Drosophilidae
Exons: 2
Source: RefSeq, a predicted model, not a curated record
CUCGUCUGAUUUUCUUUUUAUAAAACACAAUUAAACUUUAAACAUAUACACAUAAUGUUUAUAAAUAUAAUGUAGUGCAACAUAUAUAUGUAUAAUAUAGCUAAAUACCAAGUGCAAUCCCUCGAAAGAUAACUUCAAACGGCAAUUUAAUUUACGUAAAAAAAGAGACAAAAAAAACGGCGCGUGUGAAAUUUUUUCAAGCAAAGGAGAGAAGUUGGAGCAACAAAAAAAGAAGAGAGAAAAAAUACAACAACACACAAAUGUUGUUUCAGCAAUGAAAAUGUUUAGCCAAAAAACGAGAAGCAACAAAAACAGCGGCUUUAAGGCUGCUGGACAGGUUUCCCACGGCUAAAAAUUAAAAAAAGGAGCAACACGAAGAAGAAGAAGCAGCAGCAAUGCGUGAAACGCGAAAGCAAAGUGAAAUUCAAGACAACAACAACAAAUACAAAAGCGUAGCGGCUAA